CGGACGGGUGAGUAAUGUCUGGGAAACUGCCUGAUGGAGGGGGAUAACUACUGGAAACGGUAGCUAAUACCGCAUAACGUCGCAAGACCAAAGAGGGGGACCUUAGGGCCUCUUGCCAUCGGAUGUGCCCAGAUGGGAUUAGCUAGUAGGUGGGGUAACGGCUCACCUAGGCGACGAUCCCUAGCUGGUCUGAGAGGAUGACUAGCCACACUGGAACUGAGACACGGUCCAG
This 232-nucleotide ribosomal RNA is filed under the name uncultured bacterium. Its description in RNAcentral is "partial 16S ribosomal RNA". It matches the Rfam family "Bacterial small subunit ribosomal RNA", at positions 99 to 334 of the family's 1533-position model. The record is from RNAcentral.